This is a non-coding RNA of Fusarium venenatum, 107 nucleotides long. The record is from RefSeq and is a predicted model, not a curated record. Lineage: Eukaryota; Fungi; Ascomycota; Sordariomycetes; Hypocreales; Nectriaceae.
AAUGAUGGUGCCGCUACCAUCAUCAUUGGCAGAGACCAAACGCUCGAAUCCAUAAGUGGGACCCUCGCGCUCGAACUCUCUGCCAAAGAUGUCGCGGCGCCAUUGUC